Molecule: ribosomal RNA, 301 nt
Filed under: uncultured bacterium
Lineage: Bacteria
Description: partial 16S ribosomal RNA
Rfam family: Bacterial small subunit ribosomal RNA
Source: RNAcentral
CAGUCGCCGCGGGAAUACAGAGGGUGCAAGCGUUAAUCGGAAUUACUGGGCGUAAAGCGCGCGUAGGUGGUUUGUUAAGUUGAAUGUGAAAUCCCCGGGCUCAACCUGGGAACUGCAUCCAAAACUGGCAAGCUAGAGUAGAGCAGAGGGUGGUGGAAUUUCCUGUGUAGCGGUGAAAUGCGUAGAUAUAGGAAGGAACAUCAGUGGCGAAGGCGACCACCUGGACUGAUACUGACACUGAGGUGCGAAAGCGUGGGGAGCAAACAGGAUUAGAUACCCGCGUAGUCCCUGUCUCUUAUAC